AUUGAACGCUGGCGGCAGGCCUAACACAUGCAAGUCGAGCGGAGCGGCGGACGGGUGAGUAAUGCCUAGGAAUCUGCCUGGUAGUGGGGGAUAACGUCCGGAAACGGUGGCUAAUACCGCAUACUAUCGGAUGAACCCAUAUGGGAUUAGCUAGUAGGUGGGGUAAAGGCUCACCUAGGCGACGAUCUCUAGCGGGUCUGGGAGGAUGAUCAGCCACACUGGGACUGAGACACGGCCCAGACUCCUACGGGAGGCAGCAGUGGGGAAUAUUGCACAAUGGGCGCAAGCCUGAGGCAGCCAUGCCGCGUGUAUGAAGAAGGCCUUAGGGUUGUAAACUCCUUGCGACAGGGACGCGGUACCUGUAUAAGAAGCACCGGCUAACUACGUGCCAGCAGCCGCGGUAAUAC
This 407-nucleotide ribosomal RNA is filed under the name uncultured bacterium. Its description in RNAcentral is "partial 16S ribosomal RNA". It matches the Rfam family "Bacterial small subunit ribosomal RNA", at positions 30 to 526 of the family's 1533-position model. The record is from RNAcentral.